This 65-nucleotide microRNA precursor is filed under the name Caenorhabditis brenneri. Lineage: Eukaryota; Metazoa; Nematoda; Chromadorea; Rhabditida; Rhabditidae. The record is from RNAcentral.
UAUGACACAUAUGCAUAGUUGGAUCAUUCAAGACCAUCGAAUCCAACCAUGAUAUGUGGAAUAGU